This 344-nucleotide long non-coding RNA is filed under the name Nicotiana tabacum (common tobacco). Its description in RNAcentral is "long non-coding RNA (NTAB_LNC009922)". The record is from RNAcentral. Lineage: Eukaryota; Viridiplantae; Streptophyta; Magnoliopsida; Solanales; Solanaceae.
AAAACAUCUUGUACAUAUUCUCUGUUCUCAAUAUUCUUGACAAUUCUGAGAUGUUGAGGUGGUUAUGUUAUGAAAAGUUAGAUGGAGGAUGUAUUUAUACCCUUCGGAAUAGAAGAGAUGACGAGGGAAUGCAGCUACAAUUUCUAAGGCACAUGUCAAUGUGUCAAAAGAAAAUGCAAAGCAUAAUAUUAAGUUUAAUGAUUGUUGUGAGGAAACCCCUAAUCAUGCAUGACCAUUUGAGAUCAAGUCGUUCACACUACAUCCGUCAAAUUAAACCACGCUACUGUUUCAUUGUUCUAACUUCUUAUUUAUAAUAAUGCAUGCUAUGACUUUCGGCCCAUUUU